Molecule: transfer RNA, 70 nt
Filed under: Schindleria praematura (Schindler's fish)
Lineage: Eukaryota; Metazoa; Chordata; Actinopteri; Gobiiformes; Schindleriidae
Description: tRNA-Tyr
Rfam family: tRNA
About the family: Transfer RNA (tRNA) molecules are approximately 80 nucleotides in length. Their secondary structure includes four short double-helical elements and three loops (D, anti-codon, and T loops).
Source: RNAcentral
GGUAAAAUAGCUAAGAGUAAAGCGGUGGAUUGUAGCCCCAUGAACAGAGGUUUGACUCCUCUUUUUACCA